CAGCACCUCAAGUGGUCAGGAUGAUUAUUGGGCCUAAAGCAUCCGUAGCCGGCGCUGUAAGUUUUCGGUUAAAUCUGUACGCUCAACGUACAGGCUGCCGGGAAUACUGCAGCGCUAGGGAGUGGGAGAGGUAGACGGUACUCGGUAGGAAGGGGUAAAAUCCUUUGAUCUAUUGAUGACCACCUGUGGCGAAGGCGGUCUACCGGAACACGUCCGACGGUGAGGGAUGAAAGCUGGGGGAGCAAACCGGAUUAGAGACCCGAGUAGUCC
This 270-nucleotide ribosomal RNA is filed under the name uncultured archaeon. RNAcentral describes it as "partial 16S ribosomal RNA". It matches the Rfam family "Archaeal small subunit ribosomal RNA", at positions 477 to 747 of the family's 1478-position model. The record is from RNAcentral.